CCUACGGGGUGCUGCAGUGGGGAAUAUUGGACAAUGGGCGAAAGCCUGAUCCAGCCAUGCCGCGUGUGUGAAGAAGGCCUUCGGGUUGUAAAGCACUUUCAGUGGGGAAGAAAGCCUUGGGGCUAAUACCCUCGAGGAAGGACAUCACCCACAGAAGAAGCACCGGCUAACUCCGUGCCAGCAGCCGCGGUAAUACGGAGGGUGCGAGCGUUAAUCGGAAUUACUGGGCGUAAAGCGCGCGUAGGCGGUCUGAUAAGCCGGUUGUGAAAGCCCCGGGCUCAACCUGGGAACGGCAUCCGGAACUGUCAGGCUAGAGUGCAGGAGAGGAAGGUAGAAUUCCCGGUGUAGCAGUGAAAUGCGUAGAGAUCGGGAGGAAUACCAGUGGCGAAGGCGGCCUUCUGGACUGACACUGACGCUGAGGUGCGAAAGCGUGGGUAGCAAACAGGAUUAGAUACCCUAGUAGUC
This 465-nucleotide ribosomal RNA is filed under the name Vreelandella stevensii. RNAcentral's name for it is "partial 16S ribosomal RNA". It matches the Rfam family "Bacterial small subunit ribosomal RNA", at positions 338 to 795 of the family's 1533-position model. Lineage: Bacteria; Pseudomonadati; Pseudomonadota; Gammaproteobacteria; Oceanospirillales; Halomonadaceae. The record is from RNAcentral.